GAACGAGGGGUCCAAGCGUUGUUCGGAAUUAUUGGGCGUAAAGCGGGUGUAGGCGGCUCUAUAAGUUAGAAGUGAAAGCCCCUGGGCUUAACCCGGGAAGUGCUUUUAAUACUGCAGAGCUUGAAUGUGGGAGAGGGUAGUGGAAUUCCAGGUGUAGUGGUGAAAUACGUAGAUAUCUGGAGGAACACCGGUGGCGAAGGCGGCUACCUGGCCCAACAUUGACGCUGAGACCCGAAAGCAUGGGGAGUCAAAACAGG
RNAcentral lists this ribosomal RNA (257 nucleotides) under uncultured bacterium. Its description in RNAcentral is "partial 16S ribosomal RNA". It matches the Rfam family "Bacterial small subunit ribosomal RNA", at positions 523 to 776 of the family's 1533-position model. The record is from RNAcentral.